UACAACUUAUAAAUUAUGCUGCAAUUUACAAACCCACAGAUAUGUUUGUGUCGGAGUCAGAGAGCCGUGUCUCUACAGUCAGAGGUUUUUGUACGACGCCUCAAUCAGUUUGUAUCACUGUGGUGGACUUUUGGUGGAGGAACCAGACUAGAUGUUGGAAGUGAUACCCGUCCCACCCUGACAGUGCUGCCCCCCUCCAGUGAGGAGCUGCAGCAGGGGAAGGCCACCCUCAUGUGUCUGGCCAACAAGGGCUUCCCUUCAGACUGGAGUCUGUCCUGGAAGGUGGACGGCAGCAGCAGCAGCAGCAGCAGCAGCAGCUGGGAGCAGAGCAGGAGCCCCGGGGUGCUGCAGAAGGACGGCCUCUACAGCUGGAGCAGCACCCUGAGGCUCCCUGCAGACCAGUGGAGGAAGGUGGGCUCUGUGACCUGUGAGGCCACCCAGGGCUCCCAGACUGCAGUCACAGAGUCCCUGAGGAGAGACCAGUGUUCCCAGUAACAACUUGGCUCAUGUUUUGUUUCUACUCUGCUCCUUUUUUAAGUGUACUGACUUUAAAAUAUGUUUUUUGUCAGAUUGUUUCUUCUUUUAAAGCUCCAUCAUUUUUAAAACAAUAAAAUAUAAACCAUCA
Girardinichthys multiradiatus is the source of this 625-nucleotide non-coding RNA. NCBI's taxonomy places the organism in Eukaryota, Metazoa, Chordata, Actinopteri, Cyprinodontiformes, Goodeidae. The record is from the annotation of a RefSeq genome assembly.